Long non-coding RNA from Helianthus annuus (common sunflower), 963 nucleotides. RefSeq lists it as uncharacterized. The record is from RefSeq and is a predicted model, not a curated record. NCBI's taxonomy places the organism in Eukaryota, Viridiplantae, Streptophyta, Magnoliopsida, Asterales, Asteraceae. The transcript is spliced from 6 exons.
UCAAUUGCAGUACUAAAUUUUAUCAUGUAAAUCUAUACUUCUAUAUCUAAACGACGUACAUUAAUCGACAAUCAUCAACCGGAGAAUGGACAAUUAUCAAUAUAUCCUCAUUAAUCGUAGACUUCAGCUUCGAUUUUGGUAUUUAUAAAACAACCAGUGGCAGUGACACCAUUGAUGCCCUGGCCAAUCUUACCCUUAAAAAGCUAUUAGUUUUUGUUUCAGUCGACUUGUAUUUUCAUUUGAUUUGGUUUACAAAUUGGGUUCCUUGUAAUGGUCUAUUGUUACUCUUGUUUGAGAAUCAGUUUCUAAAGGAGGUCAUCCAUCCAAUCCGAGUUGUGUCACGGGAAUAUUGAUCUAAUAAUGAACAAGCACAACUACAAAACUAUGUUAGUCUGUUAUGUCAAAGAGAAAGAGUCAUUUCACAUUGGACCUGCAUCGAGUUGGUCAACUUGAUUAGUUCUCGACUUUUCAAAUUAAUUUUUGAUGCCAGGCAAUAGACCAUGCAGGUCAUGAUAAAGCAAUUGUUGUUAGAGUUGGAAGCUGUUGACAAAGCUACCGGGCAACUUGCUAGACUUCUUUGGAAGGCAGAGUCAUCCGGUUAAUUGUUUGAACCUUCUUAAGAUUGGAAUCACGAAACCUACUGGUUUUGCUUUCAAAGGUCUGACAGGUAAUGAGGAACAGUUUAUCCACAGCCAUCCUCCUGCUCUAACUGUCACUGCACGGAGGCAAGAGCUCGAAGUCGUUCCUGAUGCACCUAAAGACGUACCAAAGGUUGUUAAUUGUUUUAAUAAUUUAUUUCUUAAUUGUUUGAACUGAAUUUGUUGUUUGGCAGAUUUCACGAGCCACAUGAUGUGGAAUCAUGUUGUAAAUGUUGACGCGUUGCAUUGUAAUACUUCGUUCGACUAAUAGAAAACAAGUGGCGCGUUGUAAAUUGUUGUCCCCGCCGCAUCGCGCGGGCACCUU